RNAcentral lists this ribosomal RNA (468 nucleotides) under uncultured bacterium. Its description in RNAcentral is "partial 16S ribosomal RNA". It matches the Rfam family "Bacterial small subunit ribosomal RNA", at positions 28 to 507 of the family's 1533-position model. The record is from RNAcentral.
GACGAACGCUGGCGGCGUGCUUAACACAUGCAAGUCGAACGGAAAGGCCCUGCUUUUGUGGGGUGCUCGAGUGGCGAACGGGUGAGUAACACGUGAGUAACCUGCCCUUGACUUUGGGAUAACUUCAGGAAACUGGGGCUAAUACCGGAUAGGAGCUCCUGCUGCAUGGUGGGGGUUGGAAAGUUUCGGCGGUUGGGGAUGGACUCGCGGCUUAUCAGCUUGUUGGUUGGGUAGUGGCUUACCAAGGCUUUGACGGGUAGCCGGCCUGAGAGGGUGACCGGCCACAUUGGGACUGAGAGACGGCGCAGACUGCUACGGGAGGCAGCAGUGGGGAAUAUUGCACAAUGGGCGGAAGCCUGAUGCAGCAACGCCGCGUGCGGGAUGACGGCCUUCGGGUUGUAAACCGCUUUCGCCUGUGACGAAGCGUGAGUGACGGUAAUGGGUAAAGAAGCACCGGCUAACUACGUG